Molecule: long non-coding RNA, 523 nt
Filed under: Nicotiana tabacum (common tobacco)
Lineage: Eukaryota; Viridiplantae; Streptophyta; Magnoliopsida; Solanales; Solanaceae
Description: long non-coding RNA (NTAB_LNC018197)
Source: RNAcentral
AGGAAGGACCAUUGCCUCAUAAUGACCGUUUGAGUUACCAACCGCUGGACAUUUAUGCCGCACCCCUCCACAGAUGUUAAAAUCAGUGGUGGCUGUUGGAAUUUUGUGGUCAGACUAGUAUGGAAAGUCGUCGAGUAGUGAAAUUUGGGGCGCAGAGAAUAGAGAUAAUUACAUUUUUUCGCAUCAACUCUGACCAAUGCCUUCGUCAAAUCCAACGCAAGUGCCGAUGGAAAUACUGCUAAUAGAUAGAUACGUUGGGUAGGCCUGUGCACUGUUUCAUUCUUGGCUCUAGUAUUCAUCUUUUUGUCUCUCGCUUUUUUCUUCUCUUUUUCCUUUCCCUUAUAUUAUUUCAUGCUUUAUUUAGAGGAACUUUGUAUAAGAGAAAAGCAGGAGGAAGAGAAUAGAGAGCUCAGCAGUUGGAGAUUUUGAUGAUCGAUCACGUGCUUUGUAUAAAGGAUGUUUUCCCCAAUGCUUUGUAUAACUGAUUUUAAGACUAUUUAUGCAUCAUUAUAUUGCAAAGCUU